Molecule: transfer RNA, 72 nt
Filed under: Bacillota bacterium
Lineage: Bacteria; Bacillati; Bacillota
Description: tRNA-Glu
Rfam family: tRNA
About the family: Transfer RNA (tRNA) molecules are approximately 80 nucleotides in length. Their secondary structure includes four short double-helical elements and three loops (D, anti-codon, and T loops).
Source: RNAcentral
GGCUCCUUGGUCAAGCGGUUAAGACACCACCCUCUCACGGUGGGAUCAGGGGUUCGAGUCCCCUAGGAGUCA